CCGACGUGUUGGUGUCCAGCUGGAUGCGGUCGGCAAUGAAACUUCCCAACGUUCCUGAACGCACCGAGAGAAACACAGCAAAUAGCUCCUGUAGACCCUCAACAUGAAGCCAAUCCUGAAUCUUGCUCCUGUAGACCCUCAACAUGAAGCCAAUCCUGAAUCUUGUUGGUUGUUUCGUACCUGUGAGACGUUCUCAGACGACAGCAGCGUGUCGGCGAUCUGAGCGGCCAUCGUCACUUCUUCAGCCGUCAGAUCUUCAGGUUGGGACGUCAGGAUCUGAGCGC
Molecule: long non-coding RNA, 284 nt
Organism: Perca fluviatilis (European perch)
Lineage: Eukaryota; Metazoa; Chordata; Actinopteri; Perciformes; Percidae
Exons: 4
Source: RefSeq, a predicted model, not a curated record